UUUUUCUUGAGACAGAGUCUCACUGUUGCCCAGGCUGAAAUACAGUGGGGCAAUCUUGGCUCACUGCAACCUCUGCCUCCUGGGUUCAAAUGAUUCUCCUGCGUCCAAAUGAUUCUCCUGCGUCAGCCUCCUGAGUAGCUGAGAUUACAGGCACCCACCACCAUGCCUGGCUAAUUUUUGUAUUUUUAGUAGAGACGAGGUUUCGCCAUGUUGGUCAGGCUGGUCUCGAACUCCUGACCUCAGGUGAUCCGCCUGCCUUGGCCUCUCAAAGUGCUGUGAUUACAGGUGUGAGACACUGUGCCUGGCCAGAAUAAUGUCCUUUUAAACAUAAGUCAUUUAUGUCAUUUCUCUGCCUGAAACCUUCCAAUGGCUACUAACACAAAUAGAAUAAAUUAUUCUACACUUUAAGACCUUCACACACUGUCCCUGCCCCAACUCUGACCUCACCUUUUGCCACUCUAUACCUUAACAACUACUUUUUGGUGAGACUGGUUUUCUUUCUAUUUCUGGAACUCAUAAAGUUCUUUCCUGCCUGAGGGUCUUUGCACUAGCUAUACCCUCUCCCUGGAAUGUUCUUUCCCCAGACCUUCCCAUCGUUGGCUUUUUUUUUUUUAAUUUCUAGGUUAUCAGUUUAAAUGCUGUCUUCUCAAAGAGGCCUCUCUUGAUCACCCAGUCUAAAAUAGCACCCCCACAAAGACCAGCUACCUGAUUUGCACAACCCGGUACAAAAUGAAGAUGUGAGGGAUCUUGUAAGAAAAGGAAGAUAAAAAUGAUAUGAAAGAUUAAUAAGGAAGAACUGAAAAGAAAGGAAACUACUCUGUCCCGUCUUUACCUUUCCUUUUACUGACAUGGUUUGGCUCUGUGUGCCCACCCAAAUCUCACCUUGUUUGUGAUAAUCCCCAUGCAUCAAAGGACAGGACCAGGUGGAGAUAGUUGAAUUGCAGGGGCAGUUUCCACCAUGCUGUUCUGAUAGUGAGUGAGUUCUCAUGAGAUCUGAUGGUUCUGUAAGGGGCUUAUCCCUUCACUUGGCACUCAUUCUCUCUCUUGCUACCCUGUGAUGAGGUGCCUUCCACCAUGAUUUUAAGUUUCCUGAGGCCUCACCAACCAUGCAAACCUGUGAGUCAAACCUCUUUCCUUUGUAAACUACCCAGUCUUUGGUAUUUCUUGAUAGCAGCAUAAUAAGGGACUAAUACAUUACAUCAUCACUUUUGGAGUUAAUGGCUGGCUGCUACAAGAAUUAAUGAAAGAAGAAAAGAAUAAGACUGGGUUCUUUGGUCAUCUUUCAGAAUGUCAUUGCCUUCUUUUUGCAUUGGAAGUGUUAAAGUAAACUAUGGCCUGAGAAGGACUCUGUACUUCUAUAUUUGAGUCCUUGUGGAUGAACUGUAACCUAGCUUAAUAGACAAAAUUGAAAACCUAACUUGGUAGCAUGUACCUGUAAUAAUAGCUGAGUGUUGGCCAAUCCCAGCAGCCAUACUUCAACCACUCAUAGACUGCAGAAUGUGCAAACUGCAUUCAAAUAAGGCAAACACCGAGUAGUAACCCAUUUCACUGUUUCUGUACCUCACUUCCGAUCCCUGUACAUCACUUUACCUUUUUUGUCUAUAAAUUUGUUCUGAACACGAGGCACCCCUGGAGUCUCUAUUAAUCUGCUGUGAUUCUGGGGGCUGCUCGAUUCGCAAAUUGUUCAAUGCCCAAUUAAACUCCUUUAAAUUUAAUUCGGCUGAAGUUUUUCUUUCAUCAGAAGCAAGUUCUGGUUUGAGAGAAGCAUGGCUUCUAAACAUAUCAGCAUUCCUGCUUCCUCCGUGGAAGACAUAGAACAUUUAUCUCACACUGGCUUUGAAUCUCACUGAAUUCUCCAGGGUGGUG
RNAcentral lists this long non-coding RNA (1866 nucleotides) under Homo sapiens (human). RNAcentral's name for it is "HSALNT0187784". Lineage: Eukaryota; Metazoa; Chordata; Mammalia; Primates; Hominidae. The record is from RNAcentral.